GAGUAGGGCGGGACACGUGGUAUCCUGUCUGAAUAUGGGGGGACCAUCCUCCAAGGCUAAAUACUCCUGACUGACCGAUAGUGAACCAGUACCGUGAGGGAAAGGCGAAAAGAACCCCGGCGAGGGGAGUGAAAAAGAACCUGAAACCGUGUACGUACAAGCAGUGGGAGCACGCUUAGGCGUGUGACUGCGUACCUUUUGUAUAAUGGGUCAGCGACUUAUAUUCUGUAGCAAGGUUAACCGAAUAGGGGAGCCGAAGGGAAACCGAGUCUUAACUGGGCGUUAAGUUGCAGGGUAUAGACCCGAAACCCGGUGAUCUAGCCAUGGGCAGGUUGAAGGUUGGGUAACACUAACUGGAGGACCGAACCGACUAAUGUUGAAAAAUUAGCGGAUGACUUGUGGCUGGGGGUGAAAGGCCAAUCAAACCGGGAGAUAGCUGGUUCUCCCCGAAAGCUAUUUAGGUAGCGCCUCGUGAAUUCAUCUCCGGGGGUAGAGCACUGUUUCGGCAAGGGGGUCAUCCCGACUUACCAACCCGAUGCAAACUGCGAAUACCGGAGAAUGUUAUCACGGGAGACACACGGCGGGUGCUAACGUCCGUCGUGAAGAGGGAAACAACCCAGACCGCCAGCUAAGGUCCCAAAGUCAUGGUUAAGUGGGAAACGAUGUGGGAAGGCCCAGACAGCCAGGAUGUUGGCUUAGAAGCAGCCAUCAUUUAAAGAAAGCGUAAUAGCUCACUGGUCGAGUCGGCCUGCGCGGAAGAUGUAACGGGGCUAAACCAUGCACCGAAGCUGCGGCAGCGACGCUUAUGCGUUGUUGGGUAGGGGAGCGUUCUGUAAGCCUGUGAAGGUGUACUGUGAGGUAUGCUGGAGGUAUCAGAAGUGCGAAUGCUGACAUAAGUAACGAUAAAGCGGGUGAAAAGCCCGCUCGCCGGAAGACCAAGGGUUCCUGUCCAACGUUAAUCGGGGCAGGGUGAGUCGACCCCUAAGGCGAGGCCGAAAGGCGUAGUCGAUGGGAAACAGGUUAAUAUUCCUGUACUUGGUGUUACUGCGAAGGGGGGACGGAGAAGGCUAUGUUGGCCGGGCGACGGUUGUCCCGGUUUAAGCGUGUAGGCUGGUUUUCCAGGCAAAUCCGGAAAAUCAAGGCUGAGGCGUGAUGACGAGGCACUACGGUGCUGAAGCAACAAAUGCCCUGCUUCCAGGAAAAGCCUCUAAGCAUCAGGUAACAUCAAAUCGUACCCCAAACCGACACAGGUGGUCAGGUAGAGAAUACCAAGGCGCUUGAGAGAACUCGGGUGAAGGAACUAGGCAAAAUGGUGCCGUAACUUCGGGAGAAGGCACGCUGAUAUGUAGGUGAAGUCCCUCGCGGAUGGAGCUGAAAUCAGUCGAAGAUACCAGCUGGCUGCAACUGUUUAUUAAAAACACAGCACUGUGCAAACACGAAAGUGGACGUAUACGGUGUGACGCCUGCCCGGUGCCGGAAGGUUAAUUGAUGGGGUCAGCGCAAGCGAAGCUCUUGAUCGAAGCCCCGGUAAACGGCGGCCGUAACUAUAACGGUCCUAAGGUAGCGAAAUUCCUUGUCGGGUAAGUUCCGACCUGCACGAAUGGCGUAAUGAUGGCCAGGCUGUCUCCACCCGAGACUCAGUGAAAUUGAACUCGCUGUGAAGAUGCAGUGUACCCGCGGCAAGACGGAAAGACCCCGUGAACCUUUACUAUAGCUUGACACUGAACAUUGAGCCUUGAUGUGUAGGAUAGGUGGGAGGCUUAGAAGUGUGGACGCCAGUCUGCAUGGAGCCGACCUUGAAAUACCACCCUUUAAUGUUUGAUGUUCUAACGUUGACCCGUAAUCCGGGUUGCGGACAGUGUCUGGUGGGUAGUUUGACUGGGGCGGUCUCCUCCUAAAGAGUAACGGAGGAGCACGAAGGUUGGCUAAUCCUGGUCGGACAUCAGGAGGUUAGUGCAAUGGCAUAAGCCAGCUUGACUGCGAGCGUGACGGCGCGAGCAGGUGCGAAAGCAGGUCAUAGUGAUCCGGUGGUUCUGAAUGGAAGGGCCAUCGCUCAACGGAUAAAAGGUACUCCGGGGAUAACAGGCUGAUACCGCCCAAGAGUUCAUAUCGACGGCGGUGUUUGGCACCUCGAUGUCGGCUCAUCACAUCCUGGGGCUGAAGUAGGUCCCAAGGGUAUGGCUGUUCGCCAUUUAAAGUGGUACGCGAGCUGGGUUUAGAACGUCGUGAGACAGUUCGGUCCCUAUCUGCCGUGGGCGCUGGAGAACUGAGGGGGGCUGCUCCUAGUACGAGAGGACCGGAGUGGACGCAUCACUGGUGUUCGGGUUGUCAUGCCAAUGGCACUGCCCGGUAGCUAAAUGCGGAAGAGAUAAGUGCUGAAAGCAUCUAAGCACGAAACUUGCCCCGAGAUGAGUUCUCCCUGA
This 2423-nucleotide ribosomal RNA is filed under the name Escherichia coli. RNAcentral's name for it is "partial 23S ribosomal RNA". It matches the Rfam family "Bacterial large subunit ribosomal RNA", at positions 410 to 2818 of the family's 2925-position model. The record is from RNAcentral. Lineage: Bacteria; Pseudomonadati; Pseudomonadota; Gammaproteobacteria; Enterobacterales; Enterobacteriaceae.